Molecule: ribosomal RNA, 411 nt
Filed under: Atractaspis corpulenta
Lineage: Eukaryota; Metazoa; Chordata; Lepidosauria; Squamata; Atractaspididae
Description: partial 16S ribosomal RNA
Rfam family: Bacterial large subunit ribosomal RNA
Source: RNAcentral
UGUCUAUUAAUUGUAGNCCCGUAUGAAAGGCAAAAUGAGGGCCUAACUGUCUCUUAUAAUAAAUCAAUUAAACUGAUCUCCCAGUCAAAAAGCUGGAAUACUGACAUAAGACCAGAAGACCCUGUGAAGCUUAAACUAAACUAUUAAACCAAAUAAUAGCUCCUUUUGGUUGGGGCGACCUUGGAAAAAAAAACAACUUCCAAAUACAAUGAUCUAUACCAUCAUAUCAACGGCUGACAAGCAAAAAUUGACCCAGCAUAGCUGAUUAUUGAACUAAGUUACUCCAGGGAUAACAGCGCUAUCCUCUUCAAGAGCCCAUAUCAAAAAGAGGGUUUACGACCUCGAUGUUGGAUCAGGACAUCCUAAUGGUGCAGCCGCUAUUAAGGGUUCGUUUGUUCAACGAUUAACAGU